Molecule: ribosomal RNA, 327 nt
Filed under: uncultured eukaryote
Lineage: Eukaryota
Description: partial 18S ribosomal RNA
Rfam family: Eukaryotic small subunit ribosomal RNA
Source: RNAcentral
CCCUUAGAUGUUCUGGGCCGCACGCGCGCUACACUGACGAAUGCAACGAGCUUAUAACCUUGGCCGAAAGGUCUGGGUAAUCUCCAAAUUUCGUCGUGAUGGGGAUAGAUUAUUGCAAUUAUUAAUCUUGAACGAGGAAUGCCUAGUAAGCGCAAGUCAUCAGCUUGCGUUGAUUACGUCCCUGCCCUUUGUACACACCGCCCGUCGCUCCUACCGAUUGAAUGGUCCGGUGAAGCGUUCGGACCGUGGCCUUUGGACGGUUCGCCGUCUGUUGGCUGCGGGAAGUUCGUUAAACCUUAUCAUUUAGAGGAAGGAGAAGUCGUAACA